Bos taurus (domestic cattle) is the source of this 1441-nucleotide long non-coding RNA. The record is from Ensembl. NCBI's taxonomy places the organism in Eukaryota, Metazoa, Chordata, Mammalia, Artiodactyla, Bovidae.
GCAAUUACAGUUCAAAUGUCUCCCAAGCAUUUUUGGAGCAACAAAAGCAGAAAUAUUUCUUCAAUAAUUCAUGUUUGGAAGCCAGUAUGUUAAACACGUGAGCCUAGCUACUAGUGGGUACAUCUCCAUGUGUUCCCACAUCCAGGCCCACAGCCUUUGGCAUCUAGAAUCCUUGAGGCUUUUGAGAACAAGAUUUAGAAAUGAGUCAGAAUCUCUCAUAUCACUAAUUAGAAAACUGAGGGCCAUGUCAGUAUGUUUUCAGUGGAAUCCUGGAAUCCUCUGCUGUGAUCUGACCACUAAUUUUUAGAUGUGUGGGGAGGACAGUUUCUUAUAUGCUUUGACCUUUGAAAAGUCUUAACUUUAUCUGGAAAGGAUAUCCUCUGAUGAAGGGGAUGUCUUCUCUGAGGGGUACACAUGCAACGGGAAGGCAAAAGAUAAUAUUCACUAGCAUUGGCUAUUAUAAAAGGAAGAAAAAAAAUUAUUUUUGGUGUUCAAGAAUUUCUGAAAAGUAGAUAUAAAAUAUCUAGCCCAGUGCCUUGAACCUAAUAGAUAUUACUGGAUACUAAUUAUUAUUAAAUUAGGCAUAUGACGAUUUUGCAACUUUCUGAUGUAAAUGGCAGAAGAACCAGUGAAACCUUAAAUUGUAAUAAUAGACAUUAAACAAUGGCACCAAAAACAUGGUACAUAACCAGAAGCCCAUACUGUCUCAUGAUCCUCUCAUCCUUCCAACUAAUAGACACAGACAUUGGAUGUCUUUUUUUUUUUUUUUAAAGAAAACUGAGACUAAAAGGUUAUUUUCUCCAACUUCCCAAAGGUCAGAUAGUUGAUAGUGGUAGCCUGGACUCAAGCCCACGUGUCUGCUUUGAAAUCCAGUACUCUUUACAAUCACCGUGUUGUUGUGUAGUCACUAAGUCAUGUCUGACUCUUUCUGGACUCCAGGGACUGUAGCCCGCCAGGUUCCUCUGUCGGUUUCCUCUUCCAGGAGAUCGUCUUGACCCAGGGGUCCAACCCGGUCUCCUGUGCGUCUCCUGCAUUGCAGGCAGAUUCCAUACAGCUGAAACACCAAGAACGACACUUAGUGGGGUGUGGUAAAAACUCACCGACCACUGCAUUUGAAAGAGGUCUUUGGCAAACUCAACCUUACCCAGAAGAAAACUGAAGAUGGUGAGAGGAUUCAAGCCCUGUUCUCUGACAGUUGUUUUAGACCAGAGAAUUGCUACUCCAUGUGUAACCUUGAAACCAUCCAAGAGCUGUUUAGAGAUGUAGACCCUCAGGCUUUCUGAAGCAGCAUCUGAUUGUAAUAAGAUUUCGAGUGCUUUUGUAUAAACACUACACUUGAAAAGCACUGAUUUAUUGAAAGUUUGAUGAGGCUUUCAGGGAGAUCCAAGAGCAAGAAAGAGAGCUUAUGUCUUAUUAUUCUAAAGGCCAAAGAUAGGACCCC